This is an RNA transcript of Tripterygium wilfordii, 3836 nucleotides long. RefSeq lists it as uncharacterized. NCBI's taxonomy places the organism in Eukaryota, Viridiplantae, Streptophyta, Magnoliopsida, Celastrales, Celastraceae. The record is from RefSeq and is a predicted model, not a curated record. The transcript has 13 exons.
AUUUGGGUUUUUUAUUCGUACAUCCCUUCUCAUUUAAAGCAGCUGGGUGUCGGGGCCACGCGUACGGUGCCUCUAUGUACACGCUUGAACCGAAAAAAUUUGGAAUUCCAUCCCAAACGCAAAUCGAGAGGACGAAAACCCUAGCGGCGUGUGUGAAGUAUUUCGUGCUUCAGCUCGUACAAAAACUCGCGUUGUGAAUCAAUCCUCUUCAGUUGAAACCGGGGUAUUUGAAACUCUGUAUCAUCAAAUGGAGGUUCAUUUUGAUUCUGAAGAUCUCUAUCAGGUCAAAAGAAGAAAAAAAGAUCUCUAUCAGGUAGAGGAUGAGGUGCAUGAGCAACGUGAUCUACCAGUAACUUUACAAUUUAAAUGGUUUCAAACGGAGCUUCAUUUUGAUUUUGAAGCGCUCUCAAUCAGGACAAGGAUAAGAUCAUUGGUCAUAUAAGGCUUGAGCUACGUGAUGCAUCAGUAUUUGUAGAAACUCGCGGGUGCCGUAUUUCAAAGUUUGCUGAUGAAGACAAUGCAUGGAUGGUAUGUGACAUAUUAUUGACAAUGCUUGGUCACUUUGGACCAUACUUGCCACCUCCCUUUCAAGUGGAAGCAGAUACUUCGUGGUAUCUUUCCUUCGCAACGGAAGGUGCUCUUUUCAAACCAUCCAGAGAAAAACUUUAUAAAUCCUGUACACUUUACGAUGACGGACACGUCUUUUUCCCAUCUAUAUCCUAUAAAAGCAUCUUAAGGGAUAUAAUUGGAUCUGUUUGGCUUUUGGGUGAUACACAAUUGCGUUGUCGCUUAUCUCUGGAGAAUAUUUACAUUGUGGAGUAUGAUGGCACUUGCAUGCAGGAUCGUGCUACUUUUGCCUAGUUUUUGAGAUUUGACCUGCGAGGUCUAUAUUUCUAAUACCUUUUGUUGGUUUUGAUGCUCUUAUUGAUUGUUAAUAGAUUUUAACAAUAUGGUUGCAGAGCAUUAAAUUGAUGACAAAGUUGAAGUGCGUGAAGAAUUGAGGAAACUUUUUGAGGAGAUCAAUAGCAAAUGCAAUGUUGAUGGUGGUUCAAAAUUUGUGUUUGACCUUUUUUUGAAGAAUUUCACUUUGGAAUAUUCUAGAGCCAAUAAUGGGAAAAGGACUUAUAAUUGCUGAUCUUGACACAUGGAAGCAAAGUAGAGGUUAAGCUACUUAUGAUGAUGCAAACGACGUCGGGGGCUACAGAAUGAGGGGUGAUUAUAUUCCUUCAGGAAUCAUCCUACAAACUAAUGAAGCUUUGUUGGUCAACCUGCUAUGCCAAAAAGUUUCUGCAUUGAUACUGGUUGAAUUACAUGAGGUGAAGAUUAAAGGACUUUGAGUAUUGCUGCCAUAGAGUGCAAGAUUAAAGAUUGCAGUUGGCGCUGCUAAAGGCCUCUCCUUCUUUCAUGGAGCAGAGAAUCCAGUGAUAUACCACGACUUCAAGACUUCCAAUGACUUGCUGGAUACUGAUUUCACAACAAAAUUAUCAGAGUUUGGACUAGCAAAGAUGGGACCUGAGGGAUCAAACACAUGUCACAACAAGAGUGAUGGACAUAUGGGUAUGCAGCUUCAGAAUAUGUCUCAACAGAUAUUUGGCAUGGCCACGGCACUUGGCAGCAAAAAGUGAUGUAUACAGCUUUGGAGUGGUGCUGCUAGAGCUACUUACGCAGAGGAAAUGCAUGGAUAAAUCAAGACCAAAGAGUUAUGAUGUGGUGUUGGGUUUCGGUUCUUCCUCCCUCUCUGUGUAUGCCUCUUCAUUUAAUAAAAGGUAAUUGUGUUUGCUUUAAUUCUUUACAUGCAUUUUGGUUCGAUUUCUUUUGCGAAAGAUUGAAUGGCUUUUUGGUAAUUAAUUUAUUUGUUUAAGUAUGCCCAGUAUCUGUUAGGCAGAAGACAUAUUUGAGCCUUCUGGAAUGGGGCUUACUUUUCUUGACCUUAUUAGCUACUAAUCGGGGCAUUGUUUUGUCAUUUAGUUUCGUUUUGUAUGGCCGAGUUGUUUUUGGGUUACCCUUUAAUUAACACUUUUGGAGUUAGGGAGCGGGUGCCAUUGCAGACUUGGGGCUAACAAAGCUAGUCCCAAAGGCACAUGACAUGUUUCCUCGCCAUGAGUAUUUUCUACCAUUAACUGUUCUUUUUCUAAUUCACUCCAAGUAAAAACAACCUUUUCAGAGAAGCAGAGCACAUAGAUAACUUGAGUCGAGUGUGACGAAAAGGAACGAAGAUGGAGAGGUUUAAAUAGUGAAAGUGUAAAAAAUAAAAUUGAACUAAAUCUUGCUAUAAUUUCUUAUCUAACGCAACAAACUGCGAAACAGAAUCCAGAUUACUAAUUAUCUCACUACCCUACUCAGAGAAGAGUUUGUUUGAUCAAACCUUCAAGCUACCCUUAGAUUUGCUUCCACUGCCCAUGCUUGAUUUAUCCUUUAUAGGCUUCCUUUCUGUUACAACUUCAAAGACAGUAGGCUGAUCAUUGAUCAGGCUAAAUAGUAUGCUUGAUCUUGAAUCAUUUUGUGAUUCUUGCUCUUUUUUUUCUGGAUGAUCGCAUAUGUGAGCUUAUAUUUGGACAAUGCUCGAGUUUUUUUUGGUGUGUGAGCUUAUAUUUGGCCAGUCGUUGCUGCUUAUUGAGUGCAUUUACUAUUUUUCCAACAGUUUCUCUUGCAUCUGCUUUUCCUUCUCAGGUAAUUCUCACACUUUCUUUAACAUGAGCCAUCUUAAACUUCAUUGGUACUUCUGCUUACUUCUCUUUCUAUACUGUACUUCAUGUGUUGUUCUGUCUAUCUUUGAUCAUGAAUGCUAGAAGCAGUGGAUUACAUACAAUUUUCAGAAUGCUACCCCUUAGCAUAUUCUUGAACCUAAGUUACAUUGGAACAAGAUUUGGUUGCUACAUGUACACUUAAAAUACAGUCUUAUUUAUUUUUUAAACAUAUAGGUCAUUGAAAGCAAGGAAAAGGAUACCAACUCUUAUGGUGAUUACUUGACUGUAGAUGCUAUCUGUGUAUCAGUAUUGGUUGGUGUUCUUUCUACUUGUUGAAAUCUUAUUUAUGAAUGGUUUCAGAUGUUAGGUAUCAAAAAAUUAGGCCGUUGUAUGUAUUAUAAGAACAAUUUUCGAGAAAGCAGACUUCAUUGAGUCAUCCAUUGGACAUGUAUGACAACGUUAUCUUUUGGAAAAAGUAUCAGCGCAUGAAUUUCAUUGAUUGCAUACUUGAACUCUCUUGGUUGGGAGAUAUUGUGAUCUAUGGCAAUGAGACUAAAGAUGCUUUUGAGGAGGAUUGGGAGUCUAAAUUGAGGAGUCAUCCUGAUAUUCCAUCAUUUCUCGAGCUGAAUAGGCAUAUUACUAAACCAAGCAGCUUUGAUGAUACAAAAGGGGUGCCGGAUACCAGUAUGAAGAAAUGUAUUGAGACCAUUAGGGACUUGUACUUUAAUUUUGAACGUAUGAAACAACUAUCGGAGAAUAUGGGGGUCAAACCCAAACUUCAAGACGCUGAGCAUUUGCAAAGAAGUGGCCUUUGAAUAUGUCUUUUCGACCAUGGAUAUCACCGAGCCUCUUUUUUUUCCUCAAGGACUCACCGCUUCUUGUUUGAGCAUGUACACGGUCCCAGAUUUUUAAUGUCAAAGCAUUUAUCCUCUGUUUACUGCGAAGCAUUUUAGCCCGUUAUAUAUGCAUAUGAAUAUUGAGAGUGUGUAUGUAGUCUGUUGACUUUCUGUAUCUUGAGGUUGCUUAGUUGAUGAGCAGUUCACAUGCGCUUGCUAGUUACUUAUGGUCUUUUCUUAAGACAAGUUAUUAAUGUUCUUUUCUUAAGACUAGUUAUUUGUGUUCAUAUACAUUGAUUUAUAAUCUUUUUCU